Molecule: unclassified non-coding RNA, 217 nt
Filed under: rhizosphere metagenome
Description: partial ribosomal RNA internal transcribed spacer region
Source: RNAcentral
GUAGGUGAACCUGCGGAAGGAUCAUUACAGAGAACUUGCCCUUCGGGGUAAAUCUCCCACCCUUUGUUUACAUUACCUUUGUUGCUUUGGCGGGCCCGUCUUACGACCACCGGCUUCGGCUGGUCAGUGCCCGCCAGAGGACCCCAAACUCUUUUGUUAAUGUCGUCUGAGUACUAUAUAAUAGUUAAAACUUUCAACAACGGAUCUCUUGGUUCUG